CGAUGAUGCCCAGCUUGCUGGGUGGAUUAGUGGCGAACGGGUGAGUAACACGUGAGUAACCUGCCCCUGACUCUGGGAUAAGCGUUGGAAACGACGUCUAAUACUGGAUAUGAUCACUGGCCGCAUGGUCUGGUGGUGGAAAGAUUUUUUGGUUGGGGAUGGACUCGCGGCCUAUCAGCUUGUUGGUGAGGUAAUGGCUCACCAAGGCGACGACGGGUAGCCGGCCUGAGAGGGUGACCGGCCACACUGGGACUGAGACACGGCCCAGACUCCUACGGGAGGCAGCAGUGGGGAAUAUUGCACAAUGGGCGAAAGCCUGAUGCAGCAACGCCGCGUGAGGGAUGACGGCCUUCGGGUUGUAAACCUCUUUUAGUAGGGAAGAAGCGAAAGUGACGGUACCUGCAGAAAAAGCACCGGCUAACUACGUGCCAGCCGCCG
Molecule: ribosomal RNA, 438 nt
Filed under: Curtobacterium sp.
Lineage: Bacteria; Bacillati; Actinomycetota; Actinomycetes; Micrococcales; Microbacteriaceae
Description: bacterial SSU rRNA
Rfam family: Bacterial small subunit ribosomal RNA
Source: RNAcentral